AGAGUUGAUCAUGGCUCAGGAUGAACGCUAGCGACAGGCUAACACAUGCAAGUCGAGGGGCGAGACAUAAAGUAAGCAAUACGUUGGUGGCGACCGGCGCACGGGUGAGUAACGCGUAUGCAACCUACCUAUCAGAGGGAAGUAACCGGCGAAAGUCGGACUAAUACCGCAUAAAACAGGGCACCGCAUGGUGAUAUUUGUUAAAGAAAUUCGCUGAUAGAUGGGCAUGCGUUCCAUUAGGUAGUUGGUGAGGUAACGGCUCACCAAGCCGACGAUGGAUAGGGGAACUGAGAGGUUGGUCCCCCACACUGGUACUGAGACACGGACCAGACUCCUACGGGAGGCAGCAGUGAGGAAUAUUGGUCAAUGGGCGGGAGCCUGAACCAGCCAAGUCGCCGUGAAGGAAGAAGGAUCUAUGGUUCGUAAACUUCUUUUGCAGGGGAAUAAAGUGCAGGACGUGUCCUGUUUUGUAUGUACCCUGAGAAUAAGGAUCGGCUAACUCCGUGCCAGCCGCGGC
Molecule: ribosomal RNA, 517 nt
Filed under: uncultured bacterium
Lineage: Bacteria
Description: bacterial SSU rRNA
Rfam family: Bacterial small subunit ribosomal RNA
Source: RNAcentral